RNAcentral lists this ribosomal RNA (589 nucleotides) under Gliophorus sp. Its description in RNAcentral is "eukaryotic LSU rRNA". The stretch from base 179 to 332 matches the Rfam family "5.8S ribosomal RNA". Lineage: Eukaryota; Fungi; Basidiomycota; Agaricomycetes; Agaricales; Hygrophoraceae. The record is from RNAcentral.
CCGUACGAACAAGGAAGGUUGUGCUGGCCGUCUCUGACGGCAUUCGUGCACGCCUUUCUGACCGACCCAUUUAUUUUCAAAACCUGUGAACCUUUUGUAGGCCAAGCGAUUGGUCUACGUUUUAUCAUCACAAACUCGUAUUUGUAUGUCGACGAACGUUUGUUAAUAAAUAUAACACAACUUUCAACAACGGAUCUCUUGGCUCUCGCAUCGAUGAAGAACGCAGCGAAAUGCGAUAAGUAAUGUGAAUUGCAGAAUUCAGUGAAUCAUCGAAUCUUUGAACGCACCUUGCGCUCCUUGGUAUUCCGAGGAGCAUGCCUGUUUGAGUGUCACGAACUUCUCAACCUCACGAUUCGUCUGAGGCUUGGAUCAUGGAGGAUGUUUGCUGGACUGACAAAGUCGAGCUCCUCUGAAAUGCAUCAGUGAACCCGAUCGCCUUUGCUUUCCUUGCUGGCUUUGGUUUGAUAACGUCUAUGCCAUCGCUCGUCUUUGCGACAAAGGUCGUCUGAUUUGCUCACAACCGCUACCAUUUUGACGCCUUGACCUCAAAUCAGGUAGGACUACCCGCUGAACUUAAGCAUAUCAAUAA